GAUGAAGAACGCAGCGAAAUGCGAUAAGUAAUGUGAAUUGCAGAAUUCAGUGAAUCAUCGAAUCUUUGAACGCACAUUGCGCCCGCCAGUAUUCUGGCGGGCAUGCCUGUUCGAGCGUCAUUACAACCCUCAGGCCCCCGGGCCUGGCGUUGGGGAUCGGCAGAAGCCCCCUGUGGGCACACGCCGUCCCUCAAAUACAGUGGCGGUCCCGCCGCAGCUUCCAUUGCGUAGUAGCUAACACCUCGCGACUGGAGAGCGGCGCGGCCACGCCGUAAAACACCCAACUCUUCUGAAGUUGACCUCGAAUCAGGUAGGAAUACCCGCUGAACUUAAGCAUAUCAAUAAGCGGAGGA
RNAcentral lists this unclassified non-coding RNA (353 nucleotides) under soil metagenome. RNAcentral describes it as "partial contains 5.8S ribosomal RNA, internal transcribed spacer 2, and large subunit ribosomal RNA". The stretch from base 1 to 120 matches the Rfam family "5.8S ribosomal RNA", at positions 35 to 154 of the family's 154-position model. The record is from RNAcentral.